Molecule: unclassified non-coding RNA, 267 nt
Filed under: Basidiomycota sp.
Lineage: Eukaryota; Fungi; Basidiomycota
Description: partial contains small subunit ribosomal RNA, internal transcribed spacer 1, and 5.8S ribosomal RNA
Rfam family: Eukaryotic small subunit ribosomal RNA (bases 1-47)
Source: RNAcentral
AAAGUCGUAACAAGGUUUCCGUAGGUGAACCUGCGGAAGGAUCAUUAUUGAAAUCCUCAGGAUGUUGCUGGCCUUUUCUUGGGCAUGUGCACUCCAACCUUUUCAUCUCACCUGUGAACUCAUUUGUAGGCCCAGAUUGUUACAAAUCUGUGUCUAUGUUACUUUUACACAAACACAAAAGUUUUAUAAGAAUGUCUCAUUUAAAUGUUAAGGCCUUUUACUGGUCAAAAUUUAAUACAACUUUCAACAAUGGAUCUCUUGGUUCUC